ACCUGGUUGGCUUAGUUGGUAGAGCAUGUGACUCUUGAUCUCGGGGUUGUAAGUUUGAGCUCCACACCAGGUG
RNAcentral lists this transfer RNA (73 nucleotides) under Felis catus (domestic cat). It matches the Rfam family "tRNA". From Rfam's summary of the family: Transfer RNA (tRNA) molecules are approximately 80 nucleotides in length. Their secondary structure includes four short double-helical elements and three loops (D, anti-codon, and T loops). The record is from Rfam by way of RNAcentral. Lineage: Eukaryota; Metazoa; Chordata; Mammalia; Carnivora; Felidae. RNAcentral also lists the same sequence under 2 other names.